CAAAUACUCACCGAGUUGCACCCGUUCGGACACUGGCGAACGCAACUCAAAGAUGGCCGAAAUCCGAAAUCUCGGACUAUCCAAACAUGUCGCGAAUUCCCUGGAAAGACGGCAUUUCUGGAACCCCACGCCGCCAGCAUCGUCUCGAGCUCCAAAUACACCGCCAUCCACUCCCUCUUCGUCUCACCCGCCGCCCAAACAGCCGUGCUGGUACGAUAUAAACGACAGGAAGCACUUAGGUUAUGCCGUUUGGAUCGGCAAGGUUUAUAUCCGGGAUAAGAUGCGCAAGAGCAGCCCGGCCAGGCCAGUCAAGCAGUCAUUCCGUGCCUGGCAGCAACGUGGAUACGACCGGUGCGACAGAGAGAGAAAAGAAAAUAAGGCGGCGGAACGUGCCCUAUUUAUAUCCCGAACCGUCAGUCUGUGCAACGACACAACCAAUGUCACCGGACCGCCUAAUUGAAACAAGAGACAAGCAACAGCAUUUCGCCACAAUCCAGUUGAAGCCGAAAUCUUAGCUCCGAAAUUCAAUCAACCCCAGGCAGAGGCAGGGUCAGACUGUUGGUGGGCGGUCACGUGGGCGGUCACGUGGGCGUGGUUAGUGGGGGUGGUCACGUGGGUCGGCACGUGACUCUAGAAACCACCCCUGACUCCCCGUUUUCGAUUACUCAUCAAUCGCUACCACUGAUGGCUUCUAUGCCAUCGGACUCCUGCUUUUGCCCUAUAUACUCAAUGCAGCUAAGUGAUGAGGGUAAAUAGUGUGAGGUUAUUACAAACUCUAGGAGCUUAUUUGGAGAGUGGAAUACGGGCCGUAAACGGGCUGUUUGACGGCCAGUUUCGGAAGACAAGUGUGGUUGAAAAUGUUGUUGAUCGGUCAGUCUCGUUUGUGCGGUCAUUUUGAGCCUUUUUCUGUGU
RNAcentral lists this unclassified non-coding RNA (912 nucleotides) under Yarrowia lipolytica. The record is from RNAcentral. Lineage: Eukaryota; Fungi; Ascomycota; Dipodascomycetes; Dipodascales.